Molecule: unclassified non-coding RNA, 225 nt
Filed under: Hevea brasiliensis (rubber tree)
Lineage: Eukaryota; Viridiplantae; Streptophyta; Magnoliopsida; Malpighiales; Euphorbiaceae
Source: RNAcentral
GGAAUAUCAGGAUAUAAGAAGAGAGGAAUUCAGAAUUCAUGUAAUAACAGAAAUUGUCAAACUGAACAUAGUUUGUGUGUUAUGCUACAUUCUUUUUGAAAGAGUGAUGUGUUUUGCCUGUAUAUGGAAGAAUUUUAAAGAUAACUGUAUGCCCAUUGUUUAUCUUCUUAUCAGCUACCUCAACUUUUCUUCUAUAACGUGCAUGUAGGUAACUGUAAAUUCUGG